GUAUGACUGUGUGUCACACGUUCAUGUGCAUUCAUGUAAUUGUUGAAUAUUGUGAAAUUGGGUAUAAAAUUAUAUAUAUUAAACUAUGUGGUUUGAUUGACACUGUUGAAUUGUUCCUGUGGUGUUGAAGUGUUCUUUUCGUAUUCUUUGAACUUAGUAAUCCCUUUAACCCCUUGGGUGUUAGGCACCCUACUGAGCAAUGUGGAAAUGCUCACCCCUUCCUUGUUACACCUUUUUAGAUGCAGAUAUCUCUCCUGAGGAUCCACAGGUGGGACAUGGAGGACUUCAGGAUGCUCCUGGAGCGGCCUAGUGGAGCGUGGCAUUUAUUUGUUAUUGUGUUCCUUUUUGGAUUUUGGGGAUUUGUUUUAGCAAUUAUGACUCAUGGAUUUGCUAUGAAGCUUUAUUUGAUUAAGUUGUUAAUUGUGAACUUUUAUUUUGGACUAUAAUGAAUAUUUAUUUAAUCUUGUUGUUUUGAGUAGUUUUGGGAUAUUGUAAUUUAUGAGAAUUCUAGUGAGAUGUAUAAAAAAAAAAAAAUCCAGAGUGUUUUGGUUGACUGCCAACAUGGAUUAGGAGGAACCCUUAGGGUCAAACCUUUGACCUGGGGUCACGGGUCAAAUUUUGGGUCGCCCGGAAUUUGGGUCGUGACACUUCUUGUUUGGAAUAUCUACACCUGAAUGGAACCAGAGACUCCAGAUAGCCUUUUAGAGUAAUGAUGGGGGAAACUGCUUUACCAAUUGCUUGAAUCCUCUCCUGAUCUCCAAAAUUUCAAUGCUUUUUAGAGUAAUGAUGGUGGACAUGAGAUCCUUGAAGGGAAUACCACAGUUUUGGUUUUGUUGUAUGCAUCCCCUUUGCUCUUAGCUUCUCUUUUAAGGCUCCCAUGACUCUGUUGGCCAAAUAAUUUGAGUUCGAGUUAAUCUAAUAUUAGUUAACUAAUUAAUUAUUAAAUUGUAUGCAGAUCUCACUAGGUAAUCUAUUCCCUUUCUUUAUUCUAUAAAAAAUCUAAUUACAAUACUAUAUGAAUUUAGAAAAUAUUCUAUAUAAUAAUUUUUUAUUAAAAAAAAUUAUAUAUUCCAAUUAAAAAGUUGAGACACUUCCAAUAGAUUUUAAAAAACAAAUUUUUCAUACACAGAUGAACAUGAAGGGAAAGUAGAGAAGAAUAGGGUGGAGUUCUAUAUAUAAGAAAAUUUUUAAACUAUUGUAGACAUAAAUAAAUUACCAUUAAUUUGGUCUUCUAAAAAAAAAAGGAUAAGUCUUAUUAUCUUGUUGGUAAAACCUACUGGAAAAUAAAAUUUGCUAAAAUUAAGGAACUAAAUCCCUUGAAUUAAGCAACUAAAAUUGGGGAAUUUGAAAUUCAAAUUCUCUAUCUUCACCUAUAAAUAGAGAUGUCUUCCAUCAAGAAGAUGAAAGGGAAGAAAAUUCAGAAAUCAAAGAAAAACUCCCUACAAGUUCGAUAAGCAGCAAAAGAACUAAUACACUCGUUCUUUGCCGUUCAACAAGGUCAUUCGGGAAUAAACUACUUGUGGCCCUCAAUCGACCUUUGAAAUCAAGAAAAAAUAUUCUUUGUUAGAAAGAAUAUUAUUAUUAUUUUUUUGAGAUUGUACACACGAUAUUCUUGAAUUUAAUAAAUCAUUUGUUCACACUAUUUUUCCUAUUUUAUUUUGCUAAUUUCGUAGGAUAAAAUUUACGAAAUUUUGAAAAUAUUAAAACAUUGUCAAUAUUUUCAUUAAGAUAUAUGUAAUUAGUGAUGCAUUUGUUGAAAAAAGGUACCCAUGUUUCAAUGAUAUUUGAUUAUCUUCUUUAUAAACAUCAUAUAGAAUAUUGAAUAUAUUACAAAGAGAUGUGUAAAAAUGGAAAAAUAAAAUAAAAUAAAAUUUGAAAUCCAUUAAACUAUUCAUGAUUUUUUUAACUCUCCUUUAAUUUCUUUUUCCUUCUUAAAUUAUUUAAUAACUUUUCAUUAAAUUAUCUGUUUUUUCUUCAUUUUUUUAGUUGGCAUCCAAACAAUACGUAGGACAGAAUAUAGGAUAAAAUCAAGGACAACUCUCUCUUUAUCUAUGGGUUUGACUAUCUUUUAGCUUUUUUAUUUAUUUAUUUUUAAAAAUUGAUGUAGGACAACCCUAGGAUGGUCGCCUACACUCAAGGGUAGGUGGGCUAGGGUUUUAUUUUUAAGGUGUAAGGAGAGGAACAAGGAAUAAAUUUUAUGGUAGAGAAAAUUAUAAGAUAAGAAAUAGAGAGAAAGAAGAAACAAUGAAGAAAAGAUGGAAAACCUUAGAGUCUCACUAAGGCCUUCUAGGAGUCUCACCUAGAAGAAAAUCAAUGGAGUCUCACCAUUGAAGGUUGCAACCUUGCAAUGAAAGAAAAUAUAAUAUUAUUCAUCAAAUUCAUCCUUUUGAUUUACAUUGAUUAGCCUAUUUAUAGGCUUAUCUAAGAAAUCCAAAGUCUACUAGGACUCUAAUAACCUAUUCUACUAGGACUCUAAUAACCUAUCAUGACUCAAAUUCUAAUUAUAUUAUAACUCAACUAGCUAAUCCUAAUUAGACUCCAACAAAUAUUAAUCCUAAUUCAAUUCCAAGUAAUAAUAAUCCUACUUUAAUUACAACUAAUACUAAUUCCCUUUCUUGAUAUAUAUCUUGAAUAUUCAUCCUCAUCAAUUCCUCCUGACUUGAAAAAAACUCGACCUCGAGUUUUAGUGAUUUUCCACAAUCAAUUGAAAUUCCGAGCAAUGCCUUCCACCCUUUCUUUCUUCAUCGUCUCUUUCCCAUGGUAAGACAAGAUCUCAAGAUCUCUUGAACUUGUUCAAUUUCAUGCAAGAUAAAUACUGGACUUCGAAAAACUUUUUGAUGUUGUACAACAAGUUGAUAAUUCUCGAAAUAAUUAUGUGUCUUCAACAAACUUGUGGGAAGUUGUUUCCCACACUCUUCUUGUAAAUUGUUUUGUGGAAGAAUAAGAUUCUUUAAUUCCCUAUAUUCAAAAGAAAUUUCAGCAGAUUCUUCAUGUUUGCCACCACUCACGAUAAUGCUUGGCCUUGGGAAGUCAAACAUCGAUUCUUCUUAAACUUCUGAAACUUCUUUGAGCUCUUCUAUUGGUUGAUCUAAGAUUAGUUUCAUCAUCUCUUGCUUUCUAGAUUCAUCAUUGAUGAUUUCUUCGUCCUUUCUAGUAACUUCGACUUGCUUUUUAAUAAGAAUAUUUGAUGGCUCUUCUAGUUUCAAGGGUGCCACUUUUUCCUCUGGUUGCUUAUGUGGUAGAAUUUCCUUCAUUGGACGAAGGAUCUUCUUUCGCCCAUUGUGCACAAGUGUGUAAGUGUUCUCAUAGCCAUCAUGUUGGACCCUUUCAUCAAAAAGCCAUGGUCUUCCAAGCAUAAUAUGGGCAACUUUCAUCGGCAAAAUUUGAUGAAUAAUAUUAUAUUUUCUUUCAUUGCAAGGUUGCAACCUUCAAUGGUGAGANNNNNNNNNNNNNNNNNNNNNNNNNNNNNNNNNNNNNNNNNNNNNNNNNNNNNNNNNNNNNNNNNNNNNNNNNNNNNNNNNNNNNNNNNNNNNNNNNNNNUUCAUGUAAUUGUUGAAUAUUGUGAAAUUGGGUAUAAAAUUAUAUAUAUUAAACUAUGUGGUUUGAUUGACACUGUUGAAUUGUUCCUGUGGUGUUGAAGUGUUCUUUUCGUAUUCUUUGAACUUAGUAAUCCCUUUAACCCCUUGGGUGUUAGGCACCCUACUGAGCAAUGUGGAAAUGCUCACCCCUUCCUUGUUACACCUUUUUAGAUGCAGAUAUCUCUCCUGAGGAUCCACAGGUGGGACAGGGAGGAUUUCAGGAUGCUCCUGGAGCGGCCUAGUGGAGCGUGGCAUUUAUUUGUUAUUGUGUUCCUUUUUGGAUUUUGGGGAUUUGUUUUAGCAAUUAUGACUCAUGGAUUUGCUAUGAAACUUUAUUUGAUUAAGUUGUUAAUUGUGAACUUUUAUUUUGGACUAUAAUGAAUAUUUAUUUAAUCUUGUUGUUUUGAGUAGUUUUGGGAUAUUGUAAUUUAUGAGAAUUCUAGUGAGAUGUAUAUAUAAAAAAAAAAAUCCAGAGUGUUUUGGUUGACUGCCAACAUGGAAUAGGAGGAACCCUUAGGCUCAAACCUUUGACCUGGGGUCACGGGUCAAAUUUUGGGUCGCCCGGAAUUUGGGUCGUGACACAAUCUCUUGGUUGCAGGGCAAGACACCGUAAGUGCAGCUUUGAGUUGGUUUUUCUGGCUCAUUGCGACACACCCAUUAGUAGAAAACAAGAUUUGGGAAGAGAUCAAAGCGAAUUUGCGGGAGAAGGAUGACGAGAUCUGGUGGGCAUUCAGUGCACAAGAAGUAAGUAAGUUGGUUUAUCUCCAUGCAGCUUUGUGUAAGACACUACGGUUGUUCCCACCAGUACCUUUUGAGCACAAAGCUCCCGUUAAAGCUGACAUCCUUCCAAGCGGCCACAAAAUUGAUCCAGACACUAAAGUGCUAUUCUCUCUGUAUGCAAUGGGGAGGAUGGAAGACAUAUAGGGGCCAGAUUGCUUAGAAUUCAAACCUGAGAGGUGGAUUUCAGAGAGAGAAGGAAUCGUACAUGUACCAUCUCACAAAUUCAUAGCAUUCAAUGCAGGACCGAGAAGCUGUUUGGGUAAGGAGAUGACUUUCACCCAAAUGAAGAUAGUUGCAAUUGCCGUUAUUUGUAACUAUCAUGUUCAACUGGUGGAAGGUCAUCCUGUGUCCCCAAGUAUCUCUGUCGCACUUCACAUGAGACAUGGCUUGAAGGUUAGGGUCAGUAAGAGACGCGUUUGAUAAGAAGACUUAAGUUUACUCGGGGAGGUAAGAAUGCUGGUGAAGAUAGAAGACUUAACUUAAAGACUUAAGUUAGCAACGUAUGGUUUGUGUUAUUCAUAAAUAAAUAAAUGUCAAUGACCUACUGGUCAACAGGGUUAUGUUCUCUGAGAUUUGUAUGAGAUUAGGAUCUGUGUUACUUCAUUUUGCCCUCUGGCAAAAACGUUUAUGUAAUGUAAUAAAGCAAAUUCAAUGAAUAGAUAGAGUCAAGGGUACGACAGACAACGCCGCCUACACGCUUUUGUGAAUGAAUGCAGGGCUGGGCCACCUCCAAGGGCGUGAGCCGCAUGGGGGGGGGGGGCGGCGGCGGCGGCGGCACGUACAGUUUUUAG
Molecule: long non-coding RNA, 5149 nt
Filed under: Vitis vinifera (wine grape)
Lineage: Eukaryota; Viridiplantae; Streptophyta; Magnoliopsida; Vitales; Vitaceae
Description: long non-coding RNA (VVIN_LNC004840)
Source: RNAcentral